RNAcentral lists this ribosomal RNA (384 nucleotides) under uncultured bacterium. RNAcentral's name for it is "bacterial SSU rRNA". It matches the Rfam family "Bacterial small subunit ribosomal RNA", at positions 30 to 405 of the family's 1533-position model. The record is from RNAcentral.
AUUGAACGCUGGCGGCAUGCCUAACACAUGCAAGUCGAACGGCAGCAUGGUCUAGCUUGCUAGACUGAUGGCGAGUGGCGAACGGGUGAGUAACGCGUAGGAAUAUACCUUAUAGAGGGGGAUAACCUGGGGAAACUCAGGCUAAUACCGCAUGUUAUCUAAGGAUUAAAGCUGGGGACCUUAGGGCCUGGCGCUAUAAGAAUAGCCUGCGUCCGAUUAGCUAGUUGGUGGGGUAAAGGCCUACCAAGGCGACGAUCGGUAGCUGGUCUCGAGAGGAUGAUCAGCCACACUGGGACUGAGACACGGCCCAGACUCCUACGGGAGGCAGCAGUGGGGAAUAUUGGACAAUGGGGGCGAACCCUCGAUCCAGCAAUGCCGCGUGUG